ACUCUUGAUGCAUGCACGUGAGGCUCUAAGAAUGCAAUUGGAGAAACUGGUUGUUUUACCAGGCGUUGAUUGGAAAUGUGUGCUUCCCUUUAAGCAGUCAAGCUCAACUUGCAGAACUGAUGGGAACCCCUUGGGAAAACUGGCCUCAAAUGUUUGUCUACACAGUCCACAUACAGGGUUCUUAACCUGCGCAUAUUUAACUAUCCGGCUAUUUUGGAGAUUGAAAAAAGAAGACCUGAUUUAUCAUGUGCAAUAUCUCACACAUCUGUCAUUUCUAUUCUACCGCAAUUCGAUGGAGUCUUGUUCUGUGGUCCAGGCUAGAGGGCAGUGGCAUGAUCUCGGCUCACUACAAGCUCUGCCUCCCGGGUUCACGCCAUUCUCCUGCCUCAGCCUCCUGAGUAGCUGGGACUACAGGCGCCCGCCACCACGCCUGGCUAAUUUUUUGUAUAUUUACUAGAGAUGGCUAGUGUUAGCCAAGAUGGUCUCGAUCUCCUGACCUCGUGAUCUGCCCACCUCAGCCUGCCAAAGUGCUGGGAUUACUGGCGUGAGCCACCGUGCCUGGCCAGCAUCCUCUAAUUAUUAUUCAUAGUUUGUGAAUUUAGGCCUACGUGAAUAAUAAUAUAAUAUUUACUAUGAUGUUACUAUCUACCAACCUUAUUUUUCUUUUCUAUAAAAUAGGAGCCAAAAUAAUAUUUAUGUCAUACCUUAUGAAGUUAAAAUAAAAUAUAACGAAUGAGGGGCUUA
Long non-coding RNA from Homo sapiens (human), 744 nucleotides. Ensembl annotates it as p53 upregulated regulator of p53 levels. Its record names the gene PURPL. Lineage: Eukaryota; Metazoa; Chordata; Mammalia; Primates; Hominidae. The record is from Ensembl.